RNAcentral lists this ribosomal RNA (207 nucleotides) under uncultured bacterium. RNAcentral's name for it is "partial 16S ribosomal RNA". It matches the Rfam family "Bacterial small subunit ribosomal RNA", at positions 568 to 774 of the family's 1533-position model. The record is from RNAcentral.
AGCGUAGACGGAAUGGCAAGUCUGAUGUGAAAGGCCGGGGCUCAACCCCGGGACUGCAUUGGAAACUGUCAUUCUAGAGUACCGGAGGGGUAAGUGGAAUUCCUAGUGUAGCGGUGAAAUGCGUAGAUAUUAGGAGGAACACCAGUGGCGGAGGCGGCUUACUGGACGGUAACUGACGUUGAGGCUCGAAAGCGUGGGGAGCAAACA